This 104-nucleotide small nuclear RNA is filed under the name Microtus ochrogaster (prairie vole). The record is from RNAcentral. Lineage: Eukaryota; Metazoa; Chordata; Mammalia; Rodentia; Cricetidae.
UUGCUUCAACAACACAUAUCCUAAAAUUUGGAAAAAUACUGAUGAGAUUAGCAUGACCUCCAUGCAAGGAUUUCAAACAAAUUUGUGAAGCAUUCCAUAUUUUA